AAAAGAAAACUGCUCCACGACUAUUUCUAUCUCUUUUAAUGAAGUCUUCAACUCCUCUUAUACGAAUGCUCCGUCUAUUAUAUAAGUUUAUGUUCUAUGUGCAGUGACCAUGUUUAUGCGCAAAACGUAAAACAAUGUAACAGUUUUAAUGACUCAGAAUGCAUAUGGGCUAACCGGUCUAAUAGCGCACCAAAUCAAAUGAAACAUGUAACGACAAGAAACGAAUCGUUUCAGUCUUUUUUUUUUCAGUGUUUAUUCAGUGGGUCAUAGCAAUAUGACUUUAGUAUGGAAUUAUUUUUCUAAAAUAUCGGGAAACAAAAAAAUUGUGAAGUGCAAUUUGUGUUCAAAAGAAAUAAAGUCUUCUGGGACAACCUCUAACCUGUUGACUCACUUAAAAUGCAAGCAUUUAUUUGCAUUCAAAACAUGCUUGACAAAGAAAAUCCUAGACAAGCAAAACUCGUUUAUGCAAAAUGAUAGUAAUAAUAUAAUUAUUAUGAACGACACAAAUGAUAAAGAACAAUCCAGUAGUAGCAGCAGAUAUAACAAAUAGAUCACACAACUCUCUCACCACUAAAACUUCUACAGCGAGUCCUGUGUCUGCAUACAGCCCACAGUAUUGGAGAUUAUUAAUAAAAAGAAGAGUUUUGAAAGCGGAGGAUCAAAAAACACCAUAAUUACCGAAGCUUUAAUUCAUAUGAUUUGUCGAGAUAAUAUGCUCACCAAAACUGUAGAAAGAGAAGGUUUUAUUCACUUAUUCAAGAUAAUUUGUCCAAAGUAUAAACUGCCUUCCAGGUCAACUUUAACAAUUCUUAUUGAACAAAAAUAUGAAAAAUUUAAAUUAGAACUCAAAGAAUACUUAGAACAAGUCCCUUAUAUAUCUUUAACGUCAGACAUUUGCACAAUCGCAAAUUCAACUAGAAGCUUUCUCGUGAUAACUAGUUAUUUUAUCAAUUCAAAAACGUCCAUUCUUGAGUCUGCUUGUUUGGGAGCAAUCCAUUUAACUGAAAAACACACGGCAGAAAAUAUAGUCAUGGAAGAAUUGUUUUCACAUUUACCAAAAUAGAUUCGAUGUUUUGCGCAUAUAACUAAUUUAGUCGUUCAAAAUUCUUUAAAAAGUACAAUUGAGCUCGGAAAAAUAAUUACGCAAACAUAUUGUAACAUAUUUCAAACACAGUACAAUUGCAUCAGAUGCACUCAGAGCAGGACAACUAAACCGUGGGAAAAGUGAAGGUGAUACAUUGUAUCUCACGCAAGAUGUUUUCACUCGGUAGAAUUAUUACUCUCGAAAUGCUAGAAAAAUUUGAAAAGCUAGCGCCCAUUUUAGCAACAAUUUUGGCAACUAAAGAUCAUAAAGAUGGUCCUCAAAUGUUGGCAGGAUCGAACAUUGAAAUAAUAUCUGAAAUAAUUUCUCUUCUAAGGCCUUUUAAAGAAGCAACUGCUUAUAUAUCAGCUGAUAAAUAUGUUACUGCCAGUACCGUUUUACCAUUGUGCCAUAAUGUGCGAGAUACAUUGACUGAAUUAAAGCCUACUACUUGUCUUGCAAUAGAAUUNAAACGUAAUCUACUGAAGGAAAUUGAAACAAGAUAUAUGCCUCUCGAAAAAAAUAAGCUACUUUGUAUUGCAACUCUUCUCGAUCCCAGAUUUAAAAGAGCAUAUGUUUUUUCUCCUCUGCUUCAGACAGAAGCUAUAUCGCAGAUAUGCCAAGAGAUUAUAGGAAUAUAACAAAGCAGCGAGACCUCUCUUUACUGCAAGAAAAGAACUCAUCUAAUGUAACCGAAGAGAUAGAGUCAAUCUCUAUUUGGGCGAAGCAUUUAAAAAGAAUAAAAAGAAAUACAGAUAGAGAUGAAUUAUUUACUAGUCAAAUGCCACUUGAAUUAAAAUUAUAUUUUAAUUCAGAAGUGCUAUCAUUAUCGGAAGAUCCUAUUACAUAUUGGCAGAGCUGAAAACAUGGACUCCUCUACUCACAGAAAUUGCCUUAAAAUAUUCUAUAAUGAUGGGAUCUUCAGUUGCUUCAGAAAGAAUUGUUUCGGCUCUUAAUAACGUGGUUACCGAUAAACGAAGUUGAUAAACAAGUCGUCAUAUAAAUGAGGCUGUUUUUCUUACUUACGCUACAAAAAACAUGAUUGACUAAUACAAAUAGUUCCUACUUUAUUAUUUACUUUGUAAUUAUUAGUUUCUAAUUAGUAUCAGUAUAUUCCGAAUCUUGAAAAUCUUAACAUUUUUUUAUGUUUUUAUUCUGUGAUCUUAUGUUUAUAUAAGUUGAACAUUUUUUAUGUACUUAUGUGCGUGAACAUAGGUUAAUAUAUUGAAUAUAAUCUAAUACAUUAUAAAGAUUAAAGUUUAUUAUGUAUAUAUUUAAAAUUAAAGAGAUAUUAAUACUUUCACAUUUAAUUUGUAAAGAUUAAGUUCUUUCAUUCAUAAUCUGAUUUGUUAUUCUUCUGAAUAUAUUUUUAUCUACCAUCAC
Molecule: long non-coding RNA, 2464 nt
Organism: Pseudomyrmex gracilis
Lineage: Eukaryota; Metazoa; Arthropoda; Insecta; Hymenoptera; Formicidae
Exons: 3
Source: RefSeq, a predicted model, not a curated record